This 270-nucleotide ribosomal RNA is filed under the name uncultured bacterium. Its description in RNAcentral is "partial 16S ribosomal RNA". It matches the Rfam family "Bacterial small subunit ribosomal RNA", at positions 29 to 187 of the family's 1533-position model. The record is from RNAcentral.
AGCGAACGCUGGCGGCAGGCUUAACACAUGCAAGUCGAGCGCCCCUCCUUCAGAGGACAGAGGACGGACGACAGGGGACCGAAUUCAGCAAGCCCGAUGGGCUGGCGGUUCGGUUGAAUGUCGUUUUCACGGACGAUCCGUCGUCCGUCGUCUGACGUCUGUCUUCUGAUGGAGGGGAGCGGCAGACGGGAGAGUAACACGUGGGAACGUACCCUUCGGUUCGGAACAACCCAGGGAAACUUGGGCUAAUACCGGAUACGUCCGUAAGGA